AAGAUAAUGGCUAAUACUUAUUGAGCACUAUUAUAUUCCAGGUUCUAUGCUAAGUGCUUGAUGUGUAUUACCUCAGACAGCCCAUUCACAGGACAUCUACACAAGGACCUGAGUCCUGAAGGAGCUGGACUUUCAGUUUGUAGGAUGUGAUUGGUCUGUAGGUCUGUUGUCCAAGUCUUCUUCCUGUGGUGGCCCAGCUGCCGGUCUCACACAGAUUAGAGCCUGUUCUCCAUAUCCUCGGCUGCCCACUGACAUCCUGCUUCACACCAAACAGCCGCUCUGGAUGCAUCUUAAUGUGAGCACUUCCCCUCCUCCCCUCUGAGAAGGGAGCCUGGCAGCUCUCCACUCUGGCGCAGAGUGAGCCUCAGGCUCCAGCACCCUCGCGGUGCAGUCCUUUGCUCUGCUGUCCAUCCUUCAUGAGACCUGCCCUGAGACAGGUGAGCUUCCAUCUGGCCCCGAGGUGUCAUGUGGCUGAGUCUCAAUUCUGCUUCAGAAUAAAUGUAAGAACCUAGACAGUUUGCUUAACUUGUUUGAUCCGUGAUAGAUUUGAUAGGUUACUUACCAUCUAAAUAAUCUGAUCUGCUUCAUAAGCUAGAUGUGGAAUAAAGUAUGUGAAAUGCCUUUUGGGUGGUGUAUGGUAGGGCGCU
Non-coding RNA from Vicugna pacos (alpaca), 647 nucleotides. The record is from RefSeq and is a predicted model, not a curated record. Lineage: Eukaryota; Metazoa; Chordata; Mammalia; Artiodactyla; Camelidae.